Molecule: ribosomal RNA, 478 nt
Filed under: uncultured bacterium
Lineage: Bacteria
Description: partial 16S ribosomal RNA
Rfam family: Bacterial small subunit ribosomal RNA
Source: RNAcentral
GACGAACGCUGGCGGCGUGCCUAACACAUGCAAGUCGAGCGGAGAUAAUAGCAAUGUUAUCUUAGCGGCGGACGGGUGAGUAACGCGUGGGUAACCUGCCUUAUACAGGGGGAUAACACAGGGAAACUUGUGCUAAUACCGCAUAACAUCAGACCAUCACAUGGUGGACUGAUCAAAGGAGCAAUCCGGUAUAAGAUGGACCCGCGUCCGAUUAGCUAGUUGGAGGUGUAACGGACCACCAAGGCGACGAUCGGUAGCCGAACUGAGAGGUUGAUCGGCCACAUUGGGACUGAGACACGGCCCAGACUCCUACGGGAGGCAGCAGUGGGGAAUAUUGCGCAAUGGGGGAAACCCUGACGCAGCAACGCCGCGUGAAGGAUGAAGGUUUUCGGAUUGUAAACUUCUUUAGUCGGGGACGAACAAAUGACGGUACCCGAAGAAUAAGCCACGGCUAACUACGUGCCAGCCGCCGCGGUAA